Molecule: long non-coding RNA, 566 nt
Organism: Callithrix jacchus (white-tufted-ear marmoset)
Lineage: Eukaryota; Metazoa; Chordata; Mammalia; Primates; Cebidae
Source: RefSeq, a predicted model, not a curated record
UAUUUUGUCAGAGUUGAAGGUUUCUAAAAGUUAAAAUGUCUUUUCUAUCUUUAUAGACUCUCCUUAUCACUAGAUUGGAGUUUAUCAAUUCAAGUUCGCUAAUCACAGAAGAAAAAGAUGAAGCCGGAGAAGGAUGACUAAAUGAGAAAACUGAAGCACCAGGUGGUUAAGGAACUUGCUCAAGGUCAUGGAGACCAGAAGGCAAACCCAGACAGGCUGGAUCGGGUCCACAUUUGCAACCACAGCACGACACUAUUGGAGAGGAGCUUCAAAUAAAGGUGAUACUGCUCCUUUGACUGCAAAGGUUUUGAAGAGCAGAAAACUAUGCAAGGACAUGAUGCCCCAAAGACACCAGCACAACAGAAUAUCUGUAACUUGGGUAGAAGAACCAAAAACAUAACAGAGACUGUGGAAUUUCUAAACCAAAGGACGAGUAAGAGCCUAUUUUAAGGGUUAUUGGGAGAAGUCAAAGAAAUCUGUUAAGUGCUUUUCAGAAAAAGACUCCUGUGUGUAAGUGCUAAAUUUAUCAUAAGUAAUGAACAAUAAAUAAAAUUGAAAUACUUCCC